Molecule: long non-coding RNA, 1579 nt
Organism: Aethina tumida (small hive beetle)
Lineage: Eukaryota; Metazoa; Arthropoda; Insecta; Coleoptera; Nitidulidae
Exons: 7
Source: RefSeq, a predicted model, not a curated record
CCUUUAACCAAGAAAUUUAAAAACUUCCUACCAUGUUGAAAGUGCCUUAGGGCAAAAGAAAAUUUAAACUGGCAUCUAAUGACAUGAAAUGUAUGAGGAAAGAUAUGAAAUGAAUCAGAAAGCAUUCAACCAAGAUAACUUUCCACCAAGUUUUAAGUUCCUUAGGAUAAAUGAAAAAUUAAAUUGCCAUGUUAUUUUAUGAGGAAAGGAAAUAAAAUGAAUCAGAAACGUGAAUAUAAAAGUUAUAGGCAGAUGUCUAAAGAUCUGCCUAAAAGAUCUUCACUGAAGUAUUGCAACUCUACAAUAGCAUGCCAUAAUAAGACAACCUCUGUGACUGAAGAUGCAGGAAAAAGAAAACGGACUGAAGAGUUUUAUGAAAUUGAUGAGUUUAAUGAAUUGUACAACCAUCAAAAAGGACCAUCGACCCGGACACUAUAGACCCCCGAUUGAAAAAGGAAGUCGAUAGAGGAUCUGUGUAUUACGGAAUCCACAUGUAUAUUAAAAAAUUUUACACUCACAGACAGGUUAUGUAUCUCAACAAAUGCCAUUUUACAAAAUAAAAUUAAAAUAUUUGUCUUUUAGUACUAUCAUUUCGUCAAGGAUGGAUUUACAUUAAGUUAACUGAUAAUUUGUGGUCUGGUCACUUGUCGAGACAAUUCAAUCAAGACUUGAUCAAACUUUUUUAUCAAAUGUAUUUGGUCAUGGACGAUGGAACAAAGGAGGUUCCCAGAAUGUUUCAAUUUCCUCAUGACAUAUGAAUGAUCAAAGAGAAUCUGAUAUGAAAGAAGUGAAGCCAAAGCCAGAUGUCUGCUGGUGGUAAAUCUAGCGGGUAUGGCGGAUGUUAUAAAAGAAAAAGGCCCUUUUUGGACAAAAAUUUCAUCACUAUUCUAGACUUGUGAGCCGACGCGUUGCUAUGUAUUUUGACAAACUGUGUCGAAAUAAAAGGGUUCAGUAUCGAUUUUCUACAACCAUUGUCUCAAGAUUUUGGAUGAAGUCCAUUCUAUUCACUGCUUAAUUAAAGAAAUACCAAGUACAGCCAGUGUCAACUUCAUUCACAUAAGAUUACAUAAGAUUGAUGUAGUGGUGGUAUAAUUGUACUGCGGUGGUAGCGGUAAUUUCUAAAUGAAGUGUUCGCAAUAGACGGUAUGGUAUUAUAUAGGCGUGUACCAAUGUACCAAGGUAGUUAUAAUGGAAUGAAAUAAUAUAAACAUGUACGGUUACAGUGCCUAACGUGCUUAUGCGAAAUAUAACAGUUGCAAUGGACGUUGGCAGACCUUAAUAGCCUAAAAGUUAAAAGCUAGCUAGAUUCUGCACUACCAAUACCACAACAAUCUGUACGAAGUUGGUCUUGAACACUCCAGUGAAAAAUCACGAGUCUAACUUUCUGCACUACACACACGAAUACACUUCUGCUGCAUCAACAUAUAUGUGAAUGAGGCAAAUUAGGCACUUCAAUUUAAAAAUUGAAAUAAUAAGUAAUCAUGGAUGUUACUUAAAAUAGGUAAUAUUUUAAGCAACAAGUAUAAAUUACGAGUUAUGUUAUUUAAAUUAUAUUAAAAUUUAGAUAUUAUUGAGUAUA